Molecule: long non-coding RNA, 649 nt
Organism: Pongo pygmaeus (Bornean orangutan)
Lineage: Eukaryota; Metazoa; Chordata; Mammalia; Primates; Hominidae
Exons: 3
Source: RefSeq, a predicted model, not a curated record
AGAUGGCCGAAUAGGAACAGCUCCGGUCUACAGCUCCCAGCGUGAGCCACGCAGAAGACGGGUGAUUUCUGCAUUUCCAUCUGAGAUAUCAAUUGCUUCCAUUUGAAUCACUGUCAAGAAAGAGUGAAGCAGCCAAUUCUUUUGGAGGAAGCUGAUAGUCUCUUUUUGGGAAACCUUGGAAGCCAAGGUCGGAGCUGCUGAGAUAACGCUCAUGGAGCUGAGAGGUACAGUCCAGUCUUUGGAGAUAGACCUGGACUGGAUGAGAAAUCUGAAGUCCAGCUUAGAGAACAGCCUGAGGGAGGUGGAGGCCCGCUAUGCCCUGCAGAUGGAGCAGCUCAGUGGGAUCCUGCUGCACCUGGAGUCGGAGCUGGCGGAGACCUGAGCAGACAGGCAGCGCCAGGCCCAUGAGUAGGAAGCCCUGCUGAAUAUCAAGGUCAAGCGGGAGGCUGAGAUGGCCACCUACCGCUGCCUGCUGGAAGACAGCGAAGACUUCAAUGUUGGUUGUUGCCUUGGACAGCCCCAACUCCAUGCAAACCAUUCAAAAGACUACCACCCGCCAGACAGUGGACGGCAAAGUGAUGUUUGAGACCGAUGACACCAAAGUUCUGAGACAUUAAGCCAGCAGAGGCAGAGUACCCUUUAGGGAGCA